AAAACAUUUUUUAUUAUUAAUAAUAAUAAAUAAGUUCUGCUCAAUGAUUAUUUAAAUAGCUGCAGUAAUUUAACUGUACUAAGGUAGCAUAAUCAAUUGUUUUUUAAAUGGAAACUAGAAUGAAUGAAUUGAUGAAAUAUAUACUUUAUUUGAAUUAUUUAUUGAAUUUAAUAUUAUAGUUAAAAAGCUUUAAUUAUUUUAUAAGACGAGAAGACCCUAUAGAAUUUUAUAUAAUAAUUUUAUAAAAUUUUAAUAUAAAUAAUAAAAUUAUAUAUUUAUUUGGGAGGAAUAUUAAAAUUAAUAACUUUAAUUAAUUGAUUACAUAAAUUUAUGAUAUAAAUAGAUUUUAUUAAAAUAUAAGAUUAAAUUACCUUAGGGAUAACAGCGUAAUAUUUUUU
RNAcentral lists this ribosomal RNA (398 nucleotides) under Trachepyris sp. RNAcentral describes it as "partial large subunit ribosomal RNA". The record is from RNAcentral. Lineage: Eukaryota; Metazoa; Arthropoda; Insecta; Hymenoptera; Bethylidae.